This 126-nucleotide small nucleolar RNA is filed under the name Mus pahari (shrew mouse). RNAcentral's name for it is "scRNA (MGP_PahariEiJ_G0032821.1)". It matches the Rfam family "Small Cajal body specific RNA 15". Rfam says of the family: scaRNAs are a specific class of small nuclear RNAs which localise to the Cajal bodies and guide the modification of RNA polymerase II transcribed spliceosomal RNAs U1, U2, U4, U5 and U12. ACA45 belongs to the H/ACA box class of guide RNAs as it has the predicted hairpin-hinge-hairpin-tail structure, the conserved H/ACA-box motifs and is found associated with GAR1. ACA45 is predicted to guide the pseudouridylation of residue U37 of the U2 spliceosomal snRNA. Lineage: Eukaryota; Metazoa; Chordata; Mammalia; Rodentia; Muridae. The record is from RNAcentral.
CUGGAGACUACGACAAAAGAGUCCUUGAAGUCAAGCUGACUCUGCCUUCAGCCUCCUACAUGAAAAGGUAGAUAGAACAGGUCUUGUUGCAAAGUAAAUUCAAGACCUACUUAUCUACCAACAGCC